This 72-nucleotide transfer RNA is filed under the name Camelus bactrianus (Bactrian camel). It matches the Rfam family "tRNA". Rfam says of the family: Transfer RNA (tRNA) molecules are approximately 80 nucleotides in length. Their secondary structure includes four short double-helical elements and three loops (D, anti-codon, and T loops). Further hydrogen bonds mediate the characteristic L-shaped molecular structure. tRNAs have two regions of fundamental functional importance: the anti-codon, which is responsible for specific mRNA codon recognition, and the 3' end, to which the tRNAs corresponding amino acid is attached (by aminoacyl-tRNA synthetases). tRNAs cope with the degeneracy of the genetic code in two manners: having more than one tRNA (with a specific anti-codon) for a particular amino acid; and 'wobble' base-pairing, i.e. permitting non-standard base-pairing at the 3rd anti-codon position. RNAcentral also lists the same sequence under 2 other names. Lineage: Eukaryota; Metazoa; Chordata; Mammalia; Artiodactyla; Camelidae. The record is from Rfam by way of RNAcentral.
GAGGGUAUAGCUCAGUGGUAGAGCACAUGCUUAGCAUGCACAAGGUCCUGGGUUCAGUCCCCAGCACCUCCA